ACUCAAAUGAAUUGACGGGGGCCCGCACAAGCAGUGGAGUAUGUGGUUUAAUUCGAAGCAACGCGAAGAACCUUACCAGGACUUGACAUCCCUUGAAUAGCCGAGAGAUCGGUGAAGCCCUUCGGGGCAAGGUGACAGGUGGUGCAUGGUUGUCGUCAGCUCGUGUCGUGAGAUGUUGGGUUAAGUCCCGCAACGAGCGCAACCCCUGUUGUUAGUUGCCAUCAUUAAGUUGGGCACUCUAACGAGACUGCCGGUGACAAAUCGGAGGAAGGUGGGGACGACGUCAAAUCAUCAUGCCCCUUACGUCCUGGGCUACACACGUACUACAAUGGCCACUACAGAGGGCAGCGAAAGAGCAAUCUGGAGCGAAUCCCCAAAAGUGGCCCCAGUUCAGAUUGUGGGCUGAAACCCGCCCACAUGAAGUCGGAAUUGCUAGUAAUGGCAGGUCAGCAUACUGCCGUGAAUACGUUCCCGGGCCUUGCACACACCGCCCGU
This 495-nucleotide ribosomal RNA is filed under the name uncultured bacterium. RNAcentral describes it as "partial 16S ribosomal RNA". It matches the Rfam family "Bacterial small subunit ribosomal RNA", at positions 899 to 1397 of the family's 1533-position model. The record is from RNAcentral.